Annulohypoxylon truncatum is the source of this 90-nucleotide non-coding RNA. The record is from the annotation of a RefSeq genome assembly. NCBI's taxonomy places the organism in Eukaryota, Fungi, Ascomycota, Sordariomycetes, Xylariales, Hypoxylaceae.
GGUCCGUUGGCCCAAUGGUAAGGCGUCUGACUACGACUUCGGAUCGAAGAGUCAAUCAGGAGAUUCUGGGUUCGACCCCCAGGCGGACCU